AGUGUAUGUACGUAACACUGUCAAUACAAAAAAGACAUAAACCGGAAUCCGUCUAUCAAAAAGGUUUAUCUUUUAAGUUGUGUACAACAUGUUAUUCUCUGUCAUACUUUAGAUUUCCUUAUUGAGUGUUUUGUCCGGGAAAACGUGUAUUAUCAAGUAAAGUUUUGUACUUUGGAUAACAAAUACUUGAAGACUGUUGGAAAUGGACAGAGAAACAGCCGAUUUCACAGAUAAACAGGCAAGUAUGGACCACAGGCAAAAGAUUGCACUUUUCCAAAGUAUAGGAAAAGCCACACAGCCUCCACAAAAAAAACCAGACGUUCCAAGAAAAAAAAUUCCAACAAGCACAACCAGCUCCAACGCCGGAUGAUGAGUCCCCUCAAAGUCAGUCACCAAAAGAGACAGAUGCGUUUGAUAAGAAAACCGGCAAUGAAUUCGACAAAGAAUUACGUGUGAAAAUGGUAGACGUGUCUGCCAGUCAAAGCCGCAGGUGGUCUCCAAAUGAAAUGGAAAUAUUCCAACAUCCCAUGUGCUUGAUCAGUGCUGAAAAUGUAAAAAACGAAAUUGAAGAAGAAACUAAAAUACUUUUAAAGAGCGAGGAACAAGUAUUUGAUCAAAUAGCAAAGAUAGAUUGGCCAAUGGUUGUUGUAGCCGUCGCGGGUUUGUACAGAACUGGAAAGUCAUAUCUAAUGAAUCGUCUGGCGGACUCGAGC
Ruditapes philippinarum (Manila clam) is the source of this 713-nucleotide long non-coding RNA. RefSeq lists it as uncharacterized. The record is from RefSeq and is a predicted model, not a curated record. The transcript has 6 exons. NCBI's taxonomy places the organism in Eukaryota, Metazoa, Mollusca, Bivalvia, Venerida, Veneridae.